GAUGAACGCUAGCGGCAGGCCUAACACAUGCAAGUCGAGGGGCAUCGCGGUGCAGCAAUGCACUGGCGGCGACCGGCGUACGGGUGCGUAACGCGUAUGCAACCUGCCCCGCACCGGGGGAUAGCCCGCCGAAAGGCGGAUUAAUACCCCAUGGUCCCGGGGGCCCGCAUGGGCAUCCGGGUAAAGCCUUGGCGGUGCGGGAUGGGCAUGUGUGCCAUUAGCUGGCUGGUGGGGUAACGGCCCACCAGGGCAACGAUGGCUAGGGGGUCUGAGAGGAUGGUCCCCCACACUGGUACUGAGACACGGACCAGACUCCUACGGGAGGCAGCAGUGAGGAAUAUUGGUCAAUGGGCGGAAGCCUGAACCAGCCAUGCCGCGUGCGGGAUGAAGGCCCUACGGGUUGUAAACCGCUUUUCCCCGGGAAGAAUAAGCCCCCCGCGGGGGGUGAUGCCGGUACCGGGGGAAUAAGGAUCGGCUAACUCCGUG
This 486-nucleotide ribosomal RNA is filed under the name uncultured bacterium. RNAcentral's name for it is "bacterial SSU rRNA". It matches the Rfam family "Bacterial small subunit ribosomal RNA", at positions 28 to 507 of the family's 1533-position model. The record is from RNAcentral.